Molecule: non-coding RNA, 581 nt
Organism: Macaca mulatta (Rhesus monkey)
Lineage: Eukaryota; Metazoa; Chordata; Mammalia; Primates; Cercopithecidae
Source: RefSeq, a predicted model, not a curated record
CUAUGUCAAACCAUAUGUCUAUACACUCUUGUGAAAGUUUGUAGCAUUUUAAAUUGGAGAUGGGUUAGAGAUGAAGAAGACUGUAGAAACAGGAAAAGAGUACUCCCUUCUGCUCUGCACUGAGUCUCCUGGACUCUAAAUAGCAUCACUUGUCUCCCAGCAGCUGGCCAGCAGGUGGGGAGAGACCCUCUGCUCCGAAGGCAGGAGGAGUUUCUGCUCAAGGUGACAGGAGCAAAGCAGGAGGAAACUGCACAGGAAGAGAUAUACUGCAGUCAAGGCAUUAAACCUGAGAGCCCACUGAUGUUGAUCUUGGCCAUGGGACAUGAAUCGGCUGGUGAGAUACUGGCAGUCAUGAUGCGAACCGAGGCUUGCAUACUGGGGCUUCCUCUUUGUGUUUUUGCAUUGCCGUGAGAGGAACACGCUCUGCCUUGCUUGCUGGUCCAAGUAGGGUGACAGACAUAAGAGCAGACCUGGACCUAACCUGAAGUUUGAAGACAAGCCUAGCCAAGACAGCAUAAAUCAUCAGAUUCCCCCCGCCCACUUUCAGAUGUUUGAAUGAGAAUAAAGGAUUGCCACUUUAA